UGAAAAUGUGAUAGUGUGAAAUCAAGUUUGCAAGCGGUAGGACGCGUCGGUGUGUGUCCGUUUUUUCUCUCGUGAAACCAGUACGGAAAAACUAUUUGAAAUCGUAACACACGCACGAACGGAAGUGAGCACGGACCACAACAGAAGCAAUAUUCAAUUGGUUGGAGUGCCGAAAACAGAACAGGAGAGGAAAGAAGGCAGGAACGAUCCGAUCCUCCAACGUGCUAGCGCCUGGUAGAGGAGAAGCGGCAGGAAGGUAGAGACGAACAUCCACCUCGCUAGUGCAGCACGUGGGAGCAGCAAGAGGGAAGCAAGCAGGACGCGUACACACCAUUCGACGAAGGCAAAGCUGGAGGAAAGGAAGAACGAGGAGAGAAGGCAGGCAAGACGGGUACGUGUGUAUCCCGCACCGGUUUUUGGCAGUGUGAAAUGUGAGUAUUGAAAAGUGUAUGUGUGAGUAGAAGUAAAGAGGUAAAAUAAAGAGCGAAUGUGUGGAAUGGGAAAAUGAAAGAGAGUCUGUGUUUGUUUUGGGAGAGAGGAGAGAAUGAAAGAAAUUGAACAA
Long non-coding RNA from Anopheles gambiae (African malaria mosquito), 562 nucleotides. RefSeq lists it as uncharacterized. The transcript is spliced from 3 exons. Lineage: Eukaryota; Metazoa; Arthropoda; Insecta; Diptera; Culicidae. The record is from RefSeq and is a predicted model, not a curated record.